UCGUAUCUAUGAUAGAUUUACUUCUGAUUUUUUUCCCUUUUCCUUCUCUCCUAAGUCUCAUUCUCUUUCACGACAUCUACUGCUACCACGGUACCACCACCUCUGCCUCCGCCUCCUAGGAAGACAAAUGGUUUCAUUUCCAAUUUCGAAUCUCAAAAAUAUCUCUCUUUCUUCUUCCUCUCCUCACCCAUCACCACCACCACUGUUAUCUCUACCUUUUUCAGUUUGUUGAUACGUUUUGAGAAUUGAUUUCGGAGAUCGAUCAACGUCCUCUUUAAGAACAAUCGACAUGAAGAAUAAAUAGGUGCAUUUUGCGGGCAUCAUUUGAUUCAGUUGAAGCUAUUAAGUUUGGUAAUUACUCCAAUUAUUGGCUUGGUUACGUCGUGCUUUCUGGAAUUCAAUGGCACAUAAGAUAAAUAGCUACCCGGUUAAAAUUAUGGAGUUGCUGCAAUCAAUGCCUUUGCAUCGAAUUACAUGUGGCAGGUACUCAUUUGAUAACGCAUUUUUAUUGAGGUUGUAAUGUUCUAGUCCCCACCAUUUGAUGGUAUAACUGGAUUACAAGCUUGUUGUCUUGUAAAAUCCAUUGUGGAAGAUAGAUGGUGGCCAUACAUCAAAACCAAGAUACCAAAACCAAUUCAGGUCAUGGAAAUAAUUCAACUCAAUUUCUAUUAUGGAGUAAUUUUUUAUGAAUCACUUAACGGUGCUCGACUUAGUGGUUGCAGUAUCCGGUCACAGAGAACAACUUUAAGAUUCAAGAGUCACUUGUAGCAAAACUCUAAGGUUCUAAUAUUUGGGAUAAAUACUACCCACUAUGACGCGGUUGCUAAUUCUUUCGUUGGGAUAGUACUUUCUGCUGGACUGAAUUCAGGUUGGUUCCACAAUUCCCAACUUAUUGUUGCCAUUAACACAUUCUGAAUUGUUUUUGAGUUUUCCUUGAUACCAUAGACUGUCAUAGAAAGGACUUAUAUGGUACGGUAGUCAGCAGACUAGUUUUGUUAUAUGAGACACUUUGAGAGGUCAUUGAACUGACACCAGUAGUUAGUUCAGAUUGUUAGGCAACAAUUAUAGAAUUCCAUCACUUGAACUUGUAUUAAUUGUCGGACGCUCUUGCUUGUUGUCUUUUAACACAAUAAUUAGUUUAGGAAGAAAUGAAGAAUUUUGAAUGGACAGUUCCAGAUGAGAAAUGAGGAUCGCAGUCCACGUGAAAAUUGUUUGCUUAGUCAUAAUCUAUCUUCCAUGAAAAAGUUUGGCUUAUUCAUGUACACCAUAUUGUGGGAUCAACUUCAUUUCCAGAUAAUAGUUUCACAGGGGUUGUCAUAAAGCUUAUCACUCUGUGUGUGUUGGAAAGGAUCCUUCAUUUCCAGAAACGGGGGAGCCUUUGAUAUGUAGUAAGACACUCACCAUUUUGCUCACCUUUUUGUUUUUGGCCGUACAUGCAUGCACAUGUCCAUAUACAGAUAGGUAGAGUGUCUGUUACAGUGCAGUAAACAGAAGGUAGAGUGACUGUUAUACAAUGUUCUUACUGCAUGUUAAAUGCAUUUUAUCCCUGGUGCUUACCUAGA
This is a long non-coding RNA of Papaver somniferum (opium poppy), 1562 nucleotides long. RefSeq lists it as uncharacterized. Lineage: Eukaryota; Viridiplantae; Streptophyta; Magnoliopsida; Ranunculales; Papaveraceae. The record is from RefSeq and is a predicted model, not a curated record. The transcript has 2 exons.